RNAcentral lists this ribosomal RNA (447 nucleotides) under uncultured Ferruginibacter sp. RNAcentral describes it as "bacterial SSU rRNA". It matches the Rfam family "Bacterial small subunit ribosomal RNA", at positions 448 to 902 of the family's 1533-position model. Lineage: Bacteria; Pseudomonadati; Bacteroidota; Chitinophagia; Chitinophagales; Chitinophagaceae. The record is from RNAcentral.
GCUCAUUCUUGAGAAUUUGACGGUACCAGAUGAAUAAGCACCGGCUAACUCCGUGCCAGCAGCCGCGGUAAUACGGAGGGUGCGGGCGUUAUCCGGAUUCACUGGGUUUAAAGGGUGCGUAGGUGGGUCUGUAAGUCAGUGGUGAAAUCUCCGAGCUUAACUCGGAAACUGCCAUUGAUACUAUAGGUCUUGAAUAUUCUGGAGGUAAGCGGAAUAUGUCAUGUAGCGGUGAAAUGCUUAGAUAUGACAUAGAACACCAAUUGCGAAGGCAGCUUACUACGCGAGUAUUGACACUGAGGCACGAAAGCGUGGGGAUCAAACAGGAUUAGAUACCCUGGUAGUCCACGCCCUAAACGAUGGAUACUCGACAUCAGCGAUACACUGUUGGUGUCUGAGCGAAAGCAUUAAGUAUCCCACCUGGGAAGUACGACCGCAAGGUUGAAACUC